RNAcentral lists this ribosomal RNA (396 nucleotides) under Peritropis sp. 013SNU-044. Its description in RNAcentral is "partial large subunit ribosomal RNA". Lineage: Eukaryota; Metazoa; Arthropoda; Insecta; Hemiptera; Miridae. The record is from RNAcentral.
GUCUUUUGAUUGGGGACUGGAAUGAAUGGUUAAAUGAAAUAUAUACUUUUUUUAUCUUUUUUAGGAGAAUUUAAAUUUUUUGUUAAAAAGCAGAGAUGAUAUUAAGGGACGAGAAGACCCUAUAGAGCUUUAUUAUUAAUAAUAUAAUUUAUAUUUAUUAUAUAGUUAUAUAAUAUAUUAUUAGUAAUUUGAUUGGGGUGAUUGAAAAAAUACAAUAACUUUUUUUGUUUAAAUACAUAUAUAAAUGUGUUUUUGAUCCAAUUAUUUUGAUUAAAAGAUUAAGCUACCUUAGGGAUAACAGCGUUAUUUUUUUGUAGAGUUCUUAUCGAAAAAGAAGUUUGCGACCUCGAUGUUGGAUUAAAAUUAGUUUUGGGUGAAGUGGUUUAUUGACUGAUG